This 468-nucleotide ribosomal RNA is filed under the name uncultured bacterium. RNAcentral describes it as "partial 16S ribosomal RNA". It matches the Rfam family "Bacterial small subunit ribosomal RNA", at positions 28 to 507 of the family's 1533-position model. The record is from RNAcentral.
GACGAACGCUGGCGGCGUGCUUAACACAUGCAAGUCGAACGGUAAGGCGCUUUCUUUUUGGGUUGCUGGAGUGGCGAGCGGGAGAGUAACAUGAGAGUUAAGUGACCUGCCCUUUGGGACUACUUAAGCACAUUAAGGCUUAUAUAGUACAGGAGAUCCUGCUGCUUUGGCAGGGUUGGUAAGUUUCGGCGGUUGUGGAUGGGGUGGCGGGUUUUCAGCUUUUUGGUGGGGUUGUGGCGUACCAAGGCUUCGACGGGUAGUCGGCCUGAGAGGGUGACCGGCCACAUUGGGACUGAGAUACGGCCCAGACUCCUACGGGAGGCAGCAGUGGGGAAUAUUGCACAAUGGGCGGAAGCCGGAUGCAGCAACGCCGCGUGCGGGAUGACGGCCUUCGGGUUGUAAACCGCUUUCGCCUGUGACGAAGCGGGAGUGACGGUAAUGGGUAAAGAAGCACCGGCUAACUACGUG